AUCUAUGUUGCAGUCAUUAUUUUCGGAAAGUAAAUUCUCAUCAGAAUUUCUUCAUCUUUCUCUCGUAUUUUGUCUGUCCUCAUCACCCAUCCUCUUCUCUUUUAAUUUGUUCGGCACAACCAUAACAUAGUAGUAGACAUAUAAAUAUUAACUUUGUCUUGGCCUUUGAAUUUUUAUCUUUCUCAAUGGUUUCAAGCUUUGGAACUCAUCUCUUUCAUGUAACCAACCUGUAAAGUCAAUGAAAUUGAUUUUAGGAGAAGAGUUGAAGUCGAUUUGUAGAGAGGAGAGGAGAUGAAGCUGAUUUCAGGUUCUUCUGUGAAUAAAGAGAGUAGAGAGCUUUCCAUGGCAACGAGAAUGUGGAAGUUAGUGACGAAAAUCCUCAUCUUGAUGCUACAGUUUAUAGUGCCUAGAGUUGAAAGGGUUUUGUUUUAUUUGGUUUUUAGCUCAAUAGUCCGUUUAGGACCAGGCCCGGCUUUGAAAUAUAUGCCUAAAUUUUUGCGGGCCGGACCGAGCUUAGAUAGCAAUGGAUUUUGCGGGUUUUUUUUUCUGGCCGGGCCAGUCCGAUUGACACCCUGAAAAAUAAAUCGGUAACACAAAGAUAUCAUUCACACGUUUAGCUUUUCAGCGAUGUUUAACCAUAGUCCACACAGUCAACAAUGAUAAGUCCAUUUUGUGGAUAACUCGAGGUGGCGGACAAGGUCUGAAUCUAUAACCAUAGAUUGAUCGGGAAGCUGAAGAUUGAUGCCACUUUAUAGGUCAAACAAAACCAGCAAGUAUCUUCAGUUGGUGGUACAGAAUGGUGACGAAAUCGAAGGUUGAUGAGAUACGAGAUUCCGAAGAGGAAACAUGUACUUGAUGUGGCGGUUCUACAGUCUGGAGUUCAUGUAGGUGACGACAGAGAAUAGCCUGAGAAAACCAUGGGAGAGAUUAUCGCUUCUCUUCUCAUGGGAUAACAUUUUGUUAAGUAAACUUAGCCAAUAAACAAAAAUAUAUUUUAUUGG
Molecule: long non-coding RNA, 1001 nt
Organism: Brassica oleracea var. oleracea
Lineage: Eukaryota; Viridiplantae; Streptophyta; Magnoliopsida; Brassicales; Brassicaceae
Exons: 4
Source: RefSeq, a predicted model, not a curated record